Molecule: unclassified non-coding RNA, 298 nt
Filed under: uncultured Agaricales
Lineage: Eukaryota; Fungi; Basidiomycota; Agaricomycetes; Agaricales
Description: sequence contains ITS2
Rfam family: 5.8S ribosomal RNA (bases 1-52)
Source: RNAcentral
AACGCACAUUGCACCCUCUGGUAAUCCAGAGGGUAUGCCUGUUUGAGUGUCAUUAACAACAUCAAAUCCAGACUUUUACUCUGCGAUUUGGACUUUGAAGGCCUUGCUAACUGUCAAAGUCAGCUCCUUUUAAAUGCAUUAGCAGGUUGCAAACAACUGGCCUCAGUUUGAUAGACUUGAUCAUCUGUGCUGUCGCUAGUGAAUUUGUCUGACCGCUUCAAAUUGUCUUUGGACUGCCAUUGGGCAACACAAUUUAAGUCUUGACCUCAAAUCAGGUAGGAUUACCCGCUGAACUUAA